Molecule: long non-coding RNA, 5947 nt
Filed under: Brassica napus (rape)
Lineage: Eukaryota; Viridiplantae; Streptophyta; Magnoliopsida; Brassicales; Brassicaceae
Description: long non-coding RNA (BNAP_LNC011977)
Source: RNAcentral
UCCCGAAUUCACUCUACUCGCAGCCUUUCUCACACUACACCCAGCCACUAAACCUUUCAGGCCCACAGCAAUCUCAACCUCCUAACCAAGGCUCACAAAACCCAAAACCUCCUCACAACGGCUAAAGAUGACACAUGCAGAAGCUGAAUGCAAACGGGUUUGUAAACCUUUUUUUUUGCAAAUUCAGCAGUUUGGUAUCAUGCUAUCACGGCUCCAAACAAACAUCUGGUGGCUUCUCGGGGUGCUUGCAAGUUACGUGCCUUUCUGGCUCGCUUAGCAACAGGUAAUGAUGAUGCAGAGAGACAUGUACCUAAGUAACCCGAGGAGAUUCUUGGUCCAUACAUCCUCUGGGCUUAUAUAAAUGUUUGGUUUUGCCGUGUAAUAUUAUAAUAUCAUCCUCUUAUUGUAGUCUAUAUCUGAAGCUACCCUUAGUUAAAAAUCGGUGUUGGUGUCUGGUGAUAUUGAUAUGAGUACUGCAAACUCUCUUGCCUUUAUUUAUUUUUUUCUGGAUAUUUCGCUUAAUGCGUGUCUGAAUUAUUGUUUCUGCUUCCGUGGUAUUUAUUAUAUGAUCAUCUAUGAGAUAUGUGCAAGUUUUGGUUCCAGAUAGUGUCCUAUGGGGAUUGUCCAAUCGGUUUUGGGUAUCGGACAUAUUAACACCGACUUUCUUAGGUUUGUUACGGUUUCAGGAAGUACCGCUCGUGGAACCAUCCAUACAAGCAUCGGAUUCUACCCCGGGUGUGAUCCCACAAAGUUUGGUGUUACAUUUUUUUUUUCUCUGUGUCUCGGAAGGAAUAUAUCAAAAUAAAAUGUAAGUUUUCACAGAAAAAACGGUAUAUUAUUUUCAUCAUAUUGUGCGUAUUUUUGGCUUUGGUGAAGGUUAUUAGUCCAGAAAGGACAAAGCCCAUUUGGGUUGGUUUUGGACACGAAAGGGAUUGUGCAGCAUUGGCAAAUAGUGGUUAACGUUCGUCUAUCUGGUCUGGUGUUCCUUGUGAGGACCGUAGUUGGGCCCAAAUAUCAUAAAGAAACACACGAAACACUCUCCGUUUUUGGUUUUGAUCCCAGACAGACAAGAACACUCUCUCAUGUAUGGCAAAUGCCCUCCCUCUUUAAAUCAAAUAACGGACAGGAAGCAGUUGCGGCCCUGGGUAUAAGCAUUAGAAACAUCUGAUUCCGGCCGUUGAUAAUUAACAAAAUUUUCAGCCUAUUUAUAAAAUAUGCCAGUAGGUUAGAUGAUCAAACUAGCUAACAAAUCCCUCCAUAAUAAAAUUUUGGGUUUCUAGUCUUUGUUUUUGUAGAGCUUUUUACUGCUGGGCCUGAGUAGAAAUCAAGAAACAUAAAUAGAUAGAAAUGUGAGAUGUCCAGGACUUUAUGCCUGCUCUCUCUCUCUCUCUUUCUCGAGUCACUCUCAAAAUCUGGUUCGGGUUAGGUUAUAGACAUUUUAUGUGGAACUCAAAAACUGAGAUAGGAUCAAUACUUUUAAAAAUCUAUGCAUUUCUUAUUUUCCAAAACCCAAACAAACAAACCAAACGAAUAUUUUAAUUUUACUGAAAGUAUUAUUUGUAUUUAAUUUUAAAAUAAUUAUAUAUAAAUAUAGUUUAUAAUUAAAACAAGUACAUUUAUAUAUUUUUUUCAGCUACUAGCCAAUUCUCGAUAUUUUUAGCAAAAUCGAACUGAAUUCUGUAGAAACCCUGUCUAAACCUGAAAGCACCGACAGUGCCGGCUCAAUAGGGAGUGCGGCCGGUGCGACCGCCCCGGGUCCGGUUCAAAUCUUACAAUAUUAGGGGCCCUAAUUAUUUAAUUAGCAUAUCUGAUUUAGAUUUAAACAGUAUUAAAACGAUGUAUCAUAAUUUUUUCUAGUUAAAUUAUCAAAGAGAAUAUACAUGUUUGAUGCUCGAGUCGAAAUUUCAGGAAAUUUUUUUACCAACGUUAAAAAAUUAACUUACUAUAGGGGCUUUAAAAUUCUUUUUGCCCAAGGGCCCUUCUAUAUAUUAAGCCGGCCCUGAGCACCGAAAACCAUAAACUCGAACUGGAACCAAACUAUAAUGCCCUCUGCCUAAAUCAAACACUGAAAAUCUGAAACUUUGUAACCCAUUUGCUACUUGUGUUACAGGCUUCACGGUACACAGAUAUAUCCUAUUGAUUAAAUAGUGGGCUUUAAGACAAGGCCUUUCCAGUUUUUGUGGGCCGAAACUGAAAAUAAAAUGCUACACUUGCCCACCAGCGAACGUGAACAUCAGAGUCACAGAUAACAACACUUGAGAGAGUUAUCAGAAAGAGUUCCCUAUCGACACUCUCUCUCUCUCUCUCUUCCUCUCAGCAUCAUCAUCACCACCAAAUCGCCGCCAUGUUCAGACAAGCUUCUCGCCUCGUCUCCCGAUCUAUCACCGCCAAAUCGGCGACAAACCGUGCGUUUUCAACGGAAGUCCCGUCGACGAUCGAUUCGAGUUUCGUGGAGGCAUGGAAGAAAGUCGCACCGAACAUGGACCCGCCGCAGACUCCUUCUUCCUUCAUGAAGCCUCGUCCAUCGACUGCUUCCUCGAUUCCGACGAAGCUCACCGUCAAUUUCGUCCUCCCUUACGCAUCUGAGCUUUCCGGGAAAGAGGUCGGCUUUCAUUUUUCCUCGUUCGAUGUUCGCAUUUAGGUUUCUAGGGUUUGAUCUAUGACUCUGUGUGUUAUGGUUACAUAUUUGAUUGUUGUUUGAUUUCAUGAUAAGGUGGUUAAUUAGGUCUGAAGACUUUUGAUUUUUGGUUAGAUCUAACGGCGCUAAAGUUUAGGGUUUUGAUAGGCCAAAGCUGAAACUGGCGCAGUUGAUGUUUCGUUUAGUUUCUACAUAAUUGUUAAUAACAAGAUCAAGAACAAAAAAAAAAGCCUCACUUUUUAGUGAUUAAGAAUAACCUAAAUCUCCCUAAUUUCUCAGGUUUACCAUUUGUUGUCUCUGCAAAAUGUUGCUUGCUAUAAAUCCAUUAAAAUUUUAUUAAGAGUUUUGUUAUCUCUGCUCUGUUCAUAACCAAAUGAUCCUGGUGUGUUUUUUACGGUUUCUAAUACAAUGUGAUUGGCAAAUAAUGUUUGUUUCAUAUAUCUUGAAACUUUGAUGUUGACAAAUUAUAACUGCUGAUUUCUAAUGUGUUAAUUGGUUUUGUGAAGGUUAAUCUUUUCUCUUCUAUUGAUAUAUGAUGUGGUAUACAUAUAGACUGAAUCUCCAUGGCAAGUAGUAAUUUCUCAUUGGCUUAUUCUCAUAUGUUGGUGGUGCAUUCACUGUGAUAUCUCUUCUGUAGAAUAUACAUUCAGUACUGAAAGUUCUUAUCGUCCCUGACUUGCUUUCUGAUGCAUCCAUUGCUUAUAUCCGAGAACGUAAACCUAUUUCUUGAUUGGUUUGUUUUCUUGUAUAUAUUUAAUUAUAACUCAAAGCUUAUUGGCUUUUUCUCUUUUGUCUACUUCAAGGUCGACAUGGUCAUCAUUCCCGCGACAACAGGACAAAUGGGUGUUUUGCCUGGACACGUUCCAACAAUCGCUGAGCUCAAACCCGGUAUCAUGUCCGUCCACGAAGGUACUGACAUCAAGAAAUACUUUGUGAGCAGUGGAUUUGCAUUUCUCCACGCAAAUUCCGUUGCUGACAUUAUCGCGGUUGAGGCCGUGCCGCUUGAGAACAUCGACGCAAGCCAAGUCCAAAAGGGUUUAGCUGAGUUUACACAGAAACUUGCUUCUGCCACAACAGAUCUUGAGAAAGCAGAAGCACAGAUUGGUGUCGAAGUUCACAGUGCUAUGAACGCAGCUCUCUCGGGCUGAUGAUGAGUGAAAGUCUCUUUUUUACUACUACAAAUGAUGGAAUAAAUUAGAAAAUGAUUUUAUUUUUCCUUUUCGUAAUUGUGUUGGACUUUUUGGAAUAAAUGAUUUUGUUGAAGGCACAAACCAACAGAAAGUUAUUAUUCUUCUCGACUUAUGUUUGUUUUGAGAUUGAGAAACUAAGUUCCCGAAUUGAUUUAUGGUUUUCAUUUCCUAAAAUUCUUUUUUUCUCACUUUGGGCCAUUUUUGCAAUGUCACUUCAGAACGAUUAAAAAUUGUUGGUUUUUCUUGUUGAUUUUGAAACUCUCUCGAAGUGACAAUAUUAGUGUUUUACAGUGACCUAGAAAUAAUAUGAUUUUUAAAAUAUCGAACAACUCAUAUCAUGAUUAACAUAUCAUACUGUACGUAGGCUGGGACGGAUCCAGAUAUUCGGAAAAUUUAAUAUCCGGAUUUCGGAUAUCCGUCUCGAUAUUUUAUUACCCGCGGAUAUCCGGAUCCGUAAAAAUAAUUAAAAAUAAUAUUUUUUUUUAAAACUAAAAUUUUAAUAUAAUAUAUAAACCUGUUGGUACUGGUCGUGGAAGUUCAGUUGGGGGCCACCUUCCCCACCAACAAGCCACCCAGCAUAAUGUUGGAACUAUUGGCCCUAAUGUGAACUUCCCCCUUGAUAGUCCAAAUAGCCAGCCUUCACCUGGUGGUCCGCUAUCCCAACCUGGAUAUGUAAGUAUCGCCCUCAUCUCUUUUAAUUUUUUUCUUUCAUCUAGUAGUUUCUGAAGCAUUAGAGCUCGAUUGUUUUUGGUUGACUUUAAAUCAUCAUACGAUGUUGCCUUUUCAGGGAAGCCAAGCAUUCAGGGAUGGUUUUAUGGGCGGCAUUUCUCAGGUUGUCUUCUCGUUUUAUGUUACUUAGUGAUCAGGGGCAGUCUUUUCUACUUUUGUCUGUUAUUUAAUAUCUUCUAUGUCAAUACCACCAGGAUUUCUUAGGUGAUGAUUUCAAGAGCCAGGGAUCUCAUGUUCCUUACAACAUGGGCGACUAUUCUACACAGGUAGUUUCUCUUCUGCCUGCUUUAGUUAUUAGACAUGUAAAUACUUUGGAUAUAUGAUAGUAGGACUACGAUAAGAUGUCUUUGGAAAUGUAAAACCAAAAUUCCGAGGUUGGGCCAGAUAUAUAUAACCAUGUGUUGCAAAGUUGAUAGUUCUUGAAUUUCACAUAGGAAUUACUGACUGUUCAUGUUUUUUGUAUAUGUUCUUCGUUUCUGAGCCAUAUUUGUAUAUAAUUUCUUUGUAUGCCUCACAGGGAGGAUAUGCGGUUGAUUAUGCCACACAAGGAGCCCAUGGAGCUUUUCCUGGAAACUUUAUGAACCAAAAUUCUCAAGGGGGUUAUUCUCGUUUCAGUGGGAGUAAUGAUUUCAUGUCCCAGGUGUGUUUCACCUAGCCUUUCCUUUUAACACAGUUUUUUUUCCUUAAUUCCUAGACCUUCGUCUGAGUCCUCUAUUGUUGACACAGGAGUAUAUGGCGCAUGGAGCACAAGGUCUUUUCACCCAAGCUGGCUUUAUCGACUCAUCUCAGGAUGAUGGACAACAGAAUCCUUUUGGUGUGAACAAUCCUAAUCUUCAGUCUCAGGUUUGUCCUUAAUCCUAAUCCUUGAUAGUUCGUUUGCAUUAACGUUUACAAUUAACAAAAAAGGAGGAUUCUUAAGAUAGCGAAGGUUGUGUGUUUAUAUAGAGAGAAUUACACACUAAACAUUAACCCAAACUCAUACAAACAAUUGAGGCCUUUCGAGUUUGUGUUCACCAUAUUAAUCUUUGGUACUCAUGUUUCUUUUCAAAAGAUGCUAACGACUCUUCGUCUCACAGGGUCUCCCGAAUUCACUCUACUCGCAGCCUUUCUCACACUACACCCAGCCACUAAACCUUUCAGGCCCACAGCAAUCUCAACCUCCUAACCAAGGCUCACAAAACCCAAAACCUCCUCACAACGGCUAAAGAUGACACAUGCAGAAGCUGAAUGCAAACGGGUUUGUAAACCUUUUUUUUUGCAAAUUCAGCAGUUUGGUAUCAUGCUAUCACGGCUCCAAACAAACAUCUGGUGGCUUCUCGGGGUGCUUGCAAGUUACGUGCCUUUCUGGCUCGCUUAGCAACAGGUAAUGAUGAUGCAGAGAGACAUGUAC